GCCGCGGGGUUCAUCUCUACGGCAGCCUCUCUCUCUCUCUCUCGCUCUACUUGUCCUUUCGGCUUAUACAUUUUCUAUUUGUAGACGGGAAUUAACAGGCUUUUGGUUCACCCCCCAUCCCCCCCAGCUCGGGACAAGCAGAAAAACAGGGACCGUAAGCAGCAGCAGCACAGCUCCCUCCCUAGCUUUUUAAAGUCACGUUCGGGGACUUGUGACUCCUCCAGUCAGGUGGAGGUGGCGAAGACAAAAGAAGCUGAUCCAUGUGGGUCUGUGCUGCUCCAGCUGACAUCACUCUGUGAAUGGGUGGAACGCCUGUGUGUCAUGAUAAGAACCGACGACCCCCCCCUCCUCCAUGGCCCCAUGCAUACUGGCUGGUCUUUGUUGCUGCUACCUCGUGCAAACGGGCAUGGCCACGUGCUUCUCUGGCUGCGAGCAGAGGCCACGCCUUCUCCUCCCUCUGAUCCGUCAGUUUCGGAGGCCAAGUCCUGCCCCAACAACACUCAGAGGAUCUGCCUCCCAUGCUGGAUGACGUGGUUUUUACUCAUGCAUGCUCACCAUGCUCUCUCUUAGUCACACCUACAUGUUGUGACUGUGCAACAAAUGUAUUCACAGAAUUGAGAAACAUGCUUCUUUUUUAUUUAUUUUUUUACAUAAUUUGUAUGUAAUUUAUCUCCGGUUUCCCUUUAAUUGUUUUUUUCUGAGCGCUUUAACUUUAUUUGUUGCUCUGCUCAUCUCUUAAUACACAGUGCGGUGGCUUGAACUUUUCACAUUUGUCGACUUACAACCACAACUUGAAUGUGUUUUCUUGGGAUUUCAAAUCAUAACGAAAUGGCCCAUCAUUAGGUGGAGGGAAAAUUGUAAUACUAAUAAAAUAAUCAAUGAAAAUAUAAUAAUAUAUUAUUAUUAUUUAUUCCUACCAAUCCACAAAUGUACCUCUAACAUGCCUCCAUUAACCAAAAUCAUAAAUUUAAUGGAGAAAAAACUUUUAAACAUUUUUAAUGCUAAAGAGGGAAU
This is a long non-coding RNA of Fundulus heteroclitus (mummichog), 1014 nucleotides long. RefSeq lists it as uncharacterized. Lineage: Eukaryota; Metazoa; Chordata; Actinopteri; Cyprinodontiformes; Fundulidae. The record is from RefSeq and is a predicted model, not a curated record. The transcript has 3 exons.